Peromyscus eremicus (cactus mouse) is the source of this 733-nucleotide long non-coding RNA. RefSeq lists it as uncharacterized. NCBI's taxonomy places the organism in Eukaryota, Metazoa, Chordata, Mammalia, Rodentia, Cricetidae. The record is from RefSeq and is a predicted model, not a curated record. The transcript has 2 exons.
UGUCAUGGCAACCCUCCCAGCCAGUUCCUGGUGAGCAUGCUUAUGGCAUAUGAGAUGCGUGAACAUCAUUCAGCGUCUCAAAGGAGGGGGCUCUUAAGAGUCACAAAGUCACUGAUAAAGGUACUUUAUCACUGAUUGAGGGGAGUGGAUUUACAACAACCACCUCAAAAACAUUGUUCUCCAGAGAGCAUGUCACCAAGAGACAUGCGCCCUGGAUUCUCCUGGAUCUUCUAGGAUGCACAAGUAUCGACAUCCUUCUUCUGAGGACCACCGCUUCCUUCACCCUGUCUGGAAGUUCUGAGGCUUUUACAAAGAACGCAUGCCCUUUUCCGUGGGAACAAUGCAAUAACAGAGCUCUCUCUCUUUGGCAGGCAGCCUACUCAAACUAUGCCCAUUGGACUUCACAGCGAGAGGUUUGGCAUCACCUAGAGGUAUCACAUGAAAAGGUAUAAUUAACAAGAAAAUCCCUGAGAUGGAGACAAAUGUUUAAUAUCUCAAACAGAACUCAGAUUGCUGUCGUCUUAUAACACAAUAGAUGUUGACUCUGCCACCUCUCAGAUGUGGCAAAAUGUUUCAAGUGGCAAAAAUUUUCUCUCUUCAAAAGCACCAGAUUAUAAUGGAAAAACUACAGCAUUCAUCUUUCAUUUGUUGCUUCCGGGUUAGCUAUCUCCUCAUACAUUUGUAUGUUCUUAUGCAUUUUUAAAAAAUAGAAUAAAGCAAUUGGUAGAGAGAG